UAUAAUAUUAAUUAUAAAAUUACUUGAAAACAUAUCGGUAAGCAAGCAAGUCAAAACCCUAACACUGAGGAGCUUGCUCUAUGAAACUACUAACACUCCGACUAGGGACAGGGACUCAAACCCGGUUGCCUAGAAGAGGAGAUUCGAUUCGCUUUAGUUAGUCGGGUCUUAACAAGGAGCGAAUAUAUGCACUAUAAUAUCAUAUCGCCCCAUGUUCUAUAAAACAUAUACUCUAGUUGAUUGAGGGAUUGAUAUAUGUUCAUAACCGGACUUCCCCCUAGCACGCCCCACUCCUAACUGCAUAAGAAAUUGAACCUGAAACAAAGGCUGUGGGGGAUGGUCGUAGAUCA
Molecule: long non-coding RNA, 350 nt
Filed under: Citrus x clementina
Lineage: Eukaryota; Viridiplantae; Streptophyta; Magnoliopsida; Sapindales; Rutaceae
Description: Citrus clementina (C. clementina) long non-coding RNA (CCLE_LNC003017)
Source: RNAcentral